GUGGGGAAUAUUGGACAAUGGGCGCAAGCCUGAUCCAGCAAUGCCGCGUGGGUGAAGAAGGUCUUCGGAUCGUAAAGCCCUUUCGACAGGGACGAUGAUGACGGUACCUGUAGAAGAAGCCCCGGCUAACUUCGUGCCAGCAGCCGCGGUAAUACGAAGGGGGCUAGCGUUACUCGGAAUUACUGGGCGUAAAGGGCGCGUAGGCGGCUCUGUUAGUCAGGCGUGAAAUUCCUGGGCUUAACCUGGGGACUGCGCUUGAUACUGCAGGGCUUGAGGCCGAGAGAGGGUGGUGGAAUUCCCAGUGUAGAGGUGAAAUUCGUAGAUAUUGGGAAGAACACCGGUGGCGAAGGCGACCACCUGGCUCGGUUCUGACGCUGAGGCGCGACAGCGUGGGGAGCAAACAGGAUUAGAAACCCCUGUAGUCC
Molecule: ribosomal RNA, 425 nt
Filed under: uncultured bacterium
Lineage: Bacteria
Description: bacterial SSU rRNA
Rfam family: Bacterial small subunit ribosomal RNA
Source: RNAcentral